AGAUGACCGUUCCUCUUGCUGCCAUGAGCCAUAGGCAGUGGGAUUUUGUGUCAUCACAGAUUAAACUUGGCCUUUCUUCACUCAGGGUGCUCUUGGAUGUGUUUGGCUGUCCGUUAGCACCUUCUGAAUUUUGCAGGGUCAUAUACUC
Small nucleolar RNA from Chelonoidis abingdonii (Abingdon island giant tortoise), 148 nucleotides. NCBI's taxonomy places the organism in Eukaryota, Metazoa, Chordata, Testudines, Testudinidae. The record is from Ensembl.